GAUGAACGCUAGCUACAGGCUUAACACAUGCAAGUCGAGGGGCAGCAUGGUCUUAGCUUGCUAAGGCCGAUGGCGACCGGCGCACGGGUGAGUAACACGUAUCCAACCUGCCGUCUACUCUUGGACAGCCUUCUGAAAGGAAGAUUAAUACAAGAUGGCAUCAUGAGUCCACAUGUUCACAUGAUUAAAGGUAUUCCGGUAGACGAUGGGGAUGCGUUCCAUUAGAUAGUAGGCGGGGUAACGGCCCACCUAGUCUUCGAUGGAUAGGGGUUCUGAGAGGAAGGUCCCCCACAUUGGAACUGAGACACGGUCCAAACUCCUACGGGAGGCAGCAGUGAGGAAUAUUGGUCAAUGGGCGCAGGCCUGAACCAGCCAAGUAGCGUGAAGGAUGACUGCCCUAUGGGUUGUAAACUUCUUUUAUAAAGGAAUAAAGUCGGGUAUGCAUACCCGUUUGCAUGUACUUUAUGAAUAAGGAUCGGCUAACUCCGUGCCAGCAGCCGCGGUAAUACGGAGGAUCCGAGCGUUAUCCGGAUUUAUUGGGUUUAAAGGGAGCGUAGAUGGAUGUUUAAGUCAGUUGUGAAAGUUUGCGGCUCAACCGUAAAAUUGCAGUUGAUACUGGAUAUCUUGAGUGCAGUUGAGGCAGGCGGAAUUCGUGGUGUAGCGGUGAAAUGCUUAGAUAUCACGAAGAACUCCGAUUGCGAAGGCAGCCUGCUAAGCUGCAACUGACAUUGAGGCUCGAAAGUGUGGGUAUCAAACAGGAUUAGAUACCCUGGUAGUCCACACGGUAAACGAUGAAUACUCGCUGUUUGCGAUAUACAGCAAGCGGCCAAGCGAAAGCGUUAAGUAUUCCACCUGGGGAGUACGCCGGCAACGGUGAAACUCAAAGGAAUUGACGGGGGCCCGCACAAGCGGAGGAACAUGUGGUUUAAUUCGAUGAUACGCGAGGAACCUUACCCGGGCUUAAAUUGCAGAUGAAUUACGGUGAAAGCCGUAAGCCGCAAGGCAUCUGUGAAGGUGCUGCAUGGUUGUCGUCAGCUCGUGCCGUGAGGUGUCGGCUUAAGUGCCAUAACGAGCGCAACCCUUGUUGUCAGUUACUAACAGGUUCCGCUGAGGACUCUGACAAGACUGCCAUCGUAAGAUGUGAGGAAGGUGGGGAUGACGUCAAAUCAGCACGGCCCUUACGUCCGGGGCUACACACGUGUUACAAUGGGGGGUACAGAGGGCCGCUACCACGCGAGUGGAUGCCAAUCCCCAAAACCUCUCUCAGUUCGGACUGGAGUCUGCAACCCGACUCCACGAAGCUGGAUUCGCUAGUAAUCGCGCAUUCAGCCACGGCGCGGUGAAUACGUUCCCGGGCCU
Molecule: ribosomal RNA, 1359 nt
Filed under: uncultured bacterium
Lineage: Bacteria
Description: bacterial SSU rRNA
Rfam family: Bacterial small subunit ribosomal RNA
Source: RNAcentral